CCUACGGGUGGCAGCAGUGAGGAAUAUUGGUCAAUGGACGCAAGUCUGAACCAGCCAUGCCGCGUGCAGGAAGACGGCUCUAUGAGUUGUAAACUGCUUUUGUACGAGGGUAAACGCAGCUACGCGUAUCUGUUUGAAAGUAUCGUACGAAUAAGGAUCGGCUAACUCCGUGCCAGCAGCCGCGGUAAUACGGAGGAUUCUAGCGUUAUCCGGAUUUAUUGGGUUUAAAGGGUGCGUAGGCGGGCUGAUAAGUUAGAUGUGAAAUCCCGGGGGUCAACUUCGGAAUUGCCUUUGAUACUGGUCGGCUAGAGAGUAGUUGCGGUAGGCGGAAUGUGUGGUGUAGCGGUGAAAUGCUUAGAGAU
Molecule: ribosomal RNA, 362 nt
Filed under: uncultured bacterium
Lineage: Bacteria
Description: partial 16S ribosomal RNA
Rfam family: Bacterial small subunit ribosomal RNA
Source: RNAcentral